Molecule: transfer RNA, 72 nt
Filed under: Sus scrofa (pig)
Lineage: Eukaryota; Metazoa; Chordata; Mammalia; Artiodactyla; Suidae
Rfam family: tRNA
About the family: Transfer RNA (tRNA) molecules are approximately 80 nucleotides in length.
Source: Rfam by way of RNAcentral
UCCCUGGUGGUUUAGUGGUUAAGACUUGGCGUUUUCACUGCUGUGGCCCAGGUUUGAUCCCUGUUCUGGGAA